GACGGCGCCUUUCUUCCUCCAAUCAAUAGAGGCUGGUACUUUGUCUAUGUUCCCAUACAUGAAGCUUCCAUUUCCCAGCGGUGCUCCCCGAAACAUAGUAUGAUGCUUAACUUUAGAGCUAGCAUAAGCGGUCCUGAAUUCAUGAUUCCGUGUCCUUAUGCAAUGCUGAUAAAUAAUGAUGGCCGGUCAACGUGUCCUGAAGCAACUUGCCGAUAGAGAAAUCAUAAAUCAUGAUUCUUUGCCUGGUAAAGCGGGCAGCUGUUAUUUGGGAGAAAGCAAAUGCAAUGGUUGACAGCUUUGUUGGGUUCUGUAAAGACAAGGCAAAUAGCCCUGACAUUGCCUUGGAUGGUUUAGGACAUGGUUGACUUGCUUUCCUUGUUUUGUUUCAAGUUUCUUAAGUUCUGCAACUGUGAAGUUUUUCAAAAAUUUAUUCUUCAAUAUAUAGUAUAAUAUUUUAAGAAAUUACAUCAUGAUCAAAUUAGGGAUACGUUAUUUUUAAGAGGCAAAUCUGAUACAGCAGGAAAAACAACUGAAAUGGAUAGCAAUUCUGAAACCAAUGAUAUUGCUUAUGUAGUUUAGAGUUCAUCCUUGGGGGAAGAUUUGGUUCCUGAAGGAUUAGUUGAGGAGUUUUUGAUA
This is a long non-coding RNA of Populus trichocarpa (black cottonwood), 636 nucleotides long. RefSeq lists it as uncharacterized. Lineage: Eukaryota; Viridiplantae; Streptophyta; Magnoliopsida; Malpighiales; Salicaceae. The record is from RefSeq and is a predicted model, not a curated record. The transcript is spliced from 2 exons.